This 329-nucleotide ribosomal RNA is filed under the name uncultured eukaryote. RNAcentral describes it as "partial 18S ribosomal RNA". It matches the Rfam family "Eukaryotic small subunit ribosomal RNA", at positions 1470 to 1796 of the family's 1831-position model. The record is from RNAcentral.
CCCUUAGAUGUCCUGGGCCGCACGCGCGUUACACUGAUGCAUUCAACGAGCUUAUAACCUUGGCCGAGAGGCCUGGGCAAUCUUGUUAACGUGCAUCGUGAUAGGGAUAGAUUAUUGAAAUUAUUAAUCUUGAACGAGGAAUGCCUAGUAAACGCAAGUCAUCAGCUUGCAUUGAUUACGUCCCUGCCCUUUGUACACACCGCCCGUCGCUCCUACCGAUUGAAUGAUCCGAUGAAUAUCAUGGAUUGAGGAUUAUAGCAGGUUCGCCUGUCUUGAUCUUCGAGAAGUGAAGUAAAUCUUAUCAUUUAGAGGAAGGAGAAGUCGUAACA